This 5025-nucleotide long non-coding RNA is filed under the name Sus scrofa (pig). RNAcentral's name for it is "lncRNA (ENSSSCG00015078242.1)". Lineage: Eukaryota; Metazoa; Chordata; Mammalia; Artiodactyla; Suidae. The record is from RNAcentral.
GAUUACAUAGCUCUUCUCUUGAGCUCUGCAACUGAUAAUUUCCAUCCAUGUUAACAGAGUCACGGAAUGUUCAUUUUCCCCUUGCGUUGUGUAAGGUUUUGUUUUAGCUAGGUGCAUGUAAUAAUUUUAGCCAUCUGCCAUUUAAAGUACUUUUGAGAUUAAUUAUUUAACACUAUGCAUUUCAGGUGACAUGUUUAUAUUUUAAAAGAAGCCAUCUGGAGGUAAUGUUUAAUCCAAGUCAUGACUAACAGCAUUUGGGAUUUCAUUAGAAUUCUAUGGUGCUAUUUUGAGGGUUUUUUUCCCCCUCUUUUUAAAUAUAACCUGUUUGAUGUUUUCAUCAUUUGUCAUCUGAUAUGGUUUGCCACUUAUAUGAUAAUUGCUACUUUUCUUAUUUAAGUAUAUUUCAUAAUUUAUUAUAAGUUCAGUGCCUGCUCAUGGCAAGGGAAAUCAGUUAUUGCUUGAAUGAACUGUUCAUUCACUUCAUUCAUACUGCUGAACUGAACUCUUCAUCUCUCUUAUUCACCCGAUAUCCCACUUCCCAGAGAUUACUGUUCAUACCAGCCGUUCCUAUAUAUUCUUCAGAAACUUUCUGCCAAUUUAUAAAUGCAUGAAUGUAUAGAAGACUUUUCUCUGUCUUCAAUUUACUUGAUGAUUGUGUGACCUAGUUCAUUUCCUGUCUUUGACCUAAUUGUUUAACUUGAGUUCUCAGAUGCCCACAUACCUUUGGUUUUCCCUUUUACCUCACUAGCAAUCCCUUUUCAGUUUUAUUUGGUGGUUUCUUCCUUUUUCCCUUAAUAUUGAAGCAGCUUUGGUUUCUUCUGUCUGUCUACACCCACACAUCCUAGUGAUCUCAUCCAAGUUCAUAGUUUUAAACACCAUAUGUUGACAGCUCCCAAAUAUAUAUCUCUAGCUCAGACCUCCCCAAAUCUAAUCUAUACCCAACUGUUUUCUUGGCACAUAACACAUAUGUAUACCAAAUAGACCUCUUAAAUUCACGUGCCCAAAAUGAACUUUUGGUUGCCACUCACAAGUAUAUCCUAUUCUCAGAUUUUGCCUUGUCUAUUGAUAAACUCCAUCCUUUUAGUAAUUCAAGCUAAACUUUGUCAAACUCUCUUACAUCUUCUGUUUAUCUCUCAUUGCAUAUCUAAGCUGAUAGGAAAUCCUGUUGGCUAUACUUCCAGAGUGUAUGUAGAAUCUUCCCAAUUUUCAGCAGUUUCACUGUUCUCACCAAGAUUCUAGCAAUAAUAAUUACCUACACAACUGACUGCCUUAGCCAUUUGUCUCAUUCUAGCCCUCCAAAGAUUAGCAACAAAUUCGUCUUUUAAAAAUAAGUCAGCAUACAUCACCUCUCUGUUCAGAAUGGCUCUCCAUUUACCUCACAGGAAAUGCUAAGGGUCAGUAUGAUCUGUACCCCUCUAUCUUAUUUCUGGUCUAUUCUCCCUACAUUUUCCCUCUUUUCUCAUAAGGCUUGUGCACCGCUUCUUGCUUUUCCUGGAAUUUAUGGUGCUUAUCCUCACAGUUGCUAGCCAUUCUCCCUGCUGGAAUUCUAUUUGCCAGAUAACCUAUUUGCCUGGCUGCCUAGAAGUGUCUUUAUUCAAGCUCCCCCCCCCUUCUCUAUGAGAUCUAUGCUUACUAAUCUGUGUAAUAGUGCAAAUAGCACGAACCCCAUAGGCAAUACGACCACCUUAUCCUGUUCUACAUUUUUCUUUUUCCACAUUGUGUUUAUGAUUUAUUUCCACUUCUCUUUUCUGGAAUGUAAACACUUAGAGAAUAGGGGUAUCUACAUUUUGUGCACUGAUCUAUCUCAGGACAUAGCAGUAUCUGGAAGACUAGCACAUAGUAAGCAUUUGAUAUAAAUGUGAACAUAAAUUUUGUAUAUAUAAAUAAAUGAAUGACCAAAUUACUCCAGAUUUCUUGUAUGGCUUCUGUGUUUUAAAAGCAUACAUGACAUGUACCAGCACGAGGAAACACACUGUCUUUUCUUUUUAAGGAAAAAGAAGAAAGGCAAAUCAUUUUGUAUAUUUGUUUAUAAGAAGAGAAAUGUAGUUGAAUUUUAGGACCAUGAAACAAAACAUCUACAGUCUAGUUUCUUCUGGUUUAUUGAUGUGUGACUGUAAUUUUGUAGUAUCAACUGCACUUGAAAAAUUGAAAUCAGAGAUUUAACUUGAUGGUUUGUAAGAUUGCUUCAUAGUGAUGGUGGAGGAUAAACAAGGUAAAAAUGACUUCUGCCUGAUGCUCUUUUGUAUCUAAUAUUCAUGUACUUUGCCCUUUUUACUCUUAAGUGUUCAGUUAUUUAUUUAUAAAACAAGAUGUAAGUGUGGGAGUGCAUGCAUAUGAGCACAUGUAUGAAAACAGUGUCUGUCUAUAUGUCUAAGUGUUUGUUACAAAAUUGACUUACAGCAAAUCAAAGUAUGUAAUUCCAAGAGGUGUAAGUCAUUUCAAGUGUAAAUUAUACAUAGAACCAUGCACAUAUAAUCAUGCACAUCUCAAGAAAGAGAACAGCAUUGAGAGAGGGAGGAGGAGAGACAGAGUUUUAAUGAAUUAUACCCAAUUAUUUGAGUUAUAAAUAUUUUCCAUUUACAAAUAUUUAAUACACUAUUUAACCCUGUACUUUUCUGUUGUCAGACAAAUAAUCUAUGGUACACCAAGAAAACAAAAAAAAAGAGUAAAGAAACUACCAAAUAUAUUUAGUAAACAUUAUGUUAACAUAAAACAACAAUGAAAGUAAACCUAUAGCUUAAACGGCAGACUUACAUAAAAGGCUAAAAAUAUUUUAUGCAGUGUCUAUUAUUUUUAGGUAAAUGCCCUCUUAUCUGAUUGUCCUAGUUCAUUUGAGCUGCUAUUAAUUAAAAAAAAAAGAACAUAAACUGAGUAUUUCUCAUAGUUCUACAGGCUGGAAAGCACUGGUAGAUUCUGCCUGGUCACUGCUGUGCUUCCUGGUUCAUAGACCUCUGUCUUCUUGCUCUUAUAUGGUAGAUAGGUUGAGAGUGCUCCCUGGUGUCUCUUUUAUCAGGCACUAAACCCAUUCGUAAGGGUUCUGCCCUCAUAACCCAGUGCCCCCCCUCAAAGACCCCAUCUCCCAAGACCAUCACAUAGAGGGUGAGGAUUUCAACAUAUAAAUUUUGAAGGACACAAUAGCACUGCCUUUAAUGGAAGGUUUUGUUACUGUUGCUUCAAUGUUAAUAAAAUUAACUAUUGAAUCAGUGUAUUAGGUAGUAUUAAGUCACAGAAGCAGAGCCCACUCUAAAUUUCGUGAGAACUAGGGAUUAAUUUUUAGAAUGAACUCGCACAACUAAAAGUGAGUUGGGGAAGUGAAAGUUUGGAAAAAGGAGACUAAAGUCAGAGAGAAAAAGCUGCUACCUAUUCUGCCUGGAGCUCCAGUGGGGGUGAAAUAGUCAAAGCCGGCAAGGAAAGCUGGGAAUCAAAGCAUGUAGGGCCACUGAGGUGACAGGCCAUGACAAGAUGCUUAAGCGGAGGUCUAUAAGAAGCUAUUUCCUCAGCUGAGCAACUGCAUGUGUGGGUCUUCAGCCAAUAAAGGGAGGUUGGGGGUUCUCAGGCUGCUGUACUUUGUGUGGGAAGCCUUCAGGAAUAAGAGCGAAUAGAGGAAUACAGCAGAUUGAGGACCAGUUGGGCCCACUUUUCCACUUCUGGAUCUGUCCAUCAGAUAUUUGCCCAUAAUGGUUUUUGAGAAUAUUGGUUGAUCCUUCACUUUUUUAUAAUGAUUUUUAUUUUUUCCAUUAUAGCUGGUUUACAGUGCUCUGUCAACUUUCUACUGUUACAGCAAUGUGACCCAUUUAUGCAUAUUUGUAUACAUUCUUUUUUCUCAUGUUAAUCCAUCAUUAACAUGAUCUAGUCCAUCACAAGUGACUAGAUAUAGUUCCCAGUGCUAUACAGCAGAAUAUCAUUGCAAAGGCAAUAGUUUGCAUCUGUUAACCCCAAAUUCCCAAUCUAUCUCACUCUCUCCCCCCCGCAUGGCAACCACAAGUUUGUUCUUCAUGUCCAUGAUUUUCUCUUCUUUUAAGCUAUGCUUCUGGUCGGUUCUCUUCAGCAACCAUCUGGAAAAUUAUUCCAUAUUUUGUAUUUAUGAAAUGUAUUCCCAGCUUCACCGAGGUGUUACAGCAUGGUGCAGCAGGUCUAUUCAUCCUCCAUGACAUCCAAACACACCUCUUUCAACUAUGUUUAUCUUCCAUAAAAAGGAAGCAGCAAAAUUAGGUUUCCACCUAACAUGAUAGUCCUAUGGUUCAACAUCUAAGUGCAGUUUCUAUGUCAAUUAUAUUUAAUAUUAAUAGUUUGAUUUAAUCCAUCUGUUUUUCCCCUGAGUUCUAGUAUACAUUAAACAAUAAUGAAAAUAAUGAAAAGCAAUAUGCAAUAAAUGAUCAACACUGCAACUUGUCCAGAAUGUACAUGAAAAAAUAUGGUGUGAUCUUUCACUUCUCUCUUCAUAGUAAUGGACAUAUUUUUACAUGACUAAAAUAUCAACAACCUGUUAGCAUUCUUCACUUAUAUUUAUGUAUAGUACAAAAUGUUUAUCUGACAUAUGGCAGCAUUCUGGAAGGUCUAAUAAUAUCCUUAAAAUUUUGAAAUAUUAUCCUCUUGUAUCUGGGAUUAUUUUAUAUGAAUCUGAUGUCCCAUAUUUUUAUUUCAUUCCUUUAUUUAGUAAAUAUUUAUUUGGUGAUAUGCUAUAUUCCAGACCCUGUUCUAAGUACUGUGUUCAUAGUAAUAAAAAAAUGGCAAAGUCUCUGUUUAUGUGGGAUUUUAUAUGCUAUUCUUUAGCCUCUAUAAUCCAUCUAUUCCAUUAAACAAUAACUCCAUUGGAGCUAAAGAAGUUAAGAUAAAGAAUUUUAAAAAGUUAAGUGGUGCAGUAGUUCUGGAUGAGUCACAGUCUUGAAGUUCCUCACAGAAACAGUGCAGAUGAUGAUAACUGUCCAGUUGGUGGGUAACUUCAUCAGUUAUGUGGCUACUCUUAAUUUCCAGAACUUCUUACAGUAGAACCAUGGUAGUUCUGUAGCAAAAAUUAAAAAAAAA